Non-coding RNA from Cinara cedri, 1060 nucleotides. NCBI's taxonomy places the organism in Eukaryota, Metazoa, Arthropoda, Insecta, Hemiptera, Aphididae. The record is from the annotation of a GenBank genome assembly.
AAAUUGUAUCUCGUCAAGUAAAAUGUCUGUUCUUGUGACUUAUGAUUUAUUGUAGGUACACCUAGUAUUAGUAUGGGUAAAUGUCGUAUGGUGUGUAAAUAGCUAGAGAUCAAUAAUGUUUCAUGUUUCCAUUUGUUUUUUAUCAUCUAUAUUUAUUUUUUAAAUCUAUUAUAAAUGCAAGUCUUAAUUAUGUACCUAUUAUACUUAUGUUAUUUUUAUUAUGUAUAACUGACAUGCACUAAUAACCAUUUCAAUAAUUGAUUCUUAAUAGUAACAUCAGCAAAUCUAUUGUCAUAUUUUAGUCAUACUAGUUUUGUUAAACAAUCACAUAAUGAUAAAAUGGAAUGAGUAAAUAUUGGCUACGGUUUAUCUUUAGCAUUGCCUAUAUCAGACAUAACUCAAAGUAUGAUAAAAAUAAUAAUUUAGGUAAACAUGUAAUGAAAUUAACACGGGUAAUUGGCUAUGUUUUCUCAUGUAGAAAUAUCUACAAUGCUAUUAAAUGAGCCAUUAUCCAUUGUAUCACUUACUAAAAUAAAAACAAACACAAUAAUUUAUUUAAGAAUUUCAGAAUUAAAAGAAUACAAUUUCACUACUGGAAAACAACUUUUCUGUUCAGACUGUGAAUAAACAUCAUAAAAUGAGAAAAAAAAAUACACUUGAUAGGUGAAAUAAAUUGAUAAACCAAGUUAGUAAAGUCUCUUUGAAUUUUAUUAAAUUUCUAGUAAAAACUAAAGAAAGACGCUAUAUUAUGGUAUAGUAUGAAAUUUUAGCAAUUCUAUUUUUCAAACAUGCCCAAAGGCGGAUCUUUAAUCCACUUGAAUCAACUUAAAUAAUUUUAGUUUGGGUUUUGAAAUUAUUUAGUUUCAGUUUUGUAAAACUGUUUUUAAACAUGUUUUAACUAGACAGACAAGUGGCAAAUAGCCUAGUUUACACCUGCUGAAUACUUGGUUAAAACACUCAUUUUACUGCUCAGCUGAACACUUAUACUAAAUGAGAAAGUGUCUACAAUCCUAAACAAAUUUGAUUCAAUCUAAUCAGCCAUUUACACAUAACAAUAAUA